Non-coding RNA from Phalacrocorax carbo (great cormorant), 3494 nucleotides. The record is from RefSeq and is a predicted model, not a curated record. Lineage: Eukaryota; Metazoa; Chordata; Aves; Suliformes; Phalacrocoracidae.
CGGGCGGGGCUUGGCCGGGCUGCGCCCCCCCCGCAGACCGUUAGCUCGGAGCAGGCGCAGUGCGGGACCCGCGCGCACGGCGGCGGGCGGGCUCCUGAGGCGAGCGGCGCUCCCGCGCUCGCCGAGGGGAGGAGGCGGGAAGGGGGCCCGUUAGGCGCUUCCGAGCCCUCGGGGGGAUUUUCCACGAACGGAGACGAGUUGUUCUGACUGAAAAAAAAAAAAAAGAAGUCCUUAGGAAAGUCUCUAACGGGCCCGAAAGCACGCGCUCCUGAGGGGCGCCCUGCCUCUUCCCCCGGGAAGGCCCCGGGUGAGGCAGGCGCCGAGCCCAGCCUGAACCCUGUGGAGGCGGUUGCUACUCAACUGCCGUAGAUAAACCACCUCCCACUCAGCCCCAGGAGGCAGGAUUCCUCAGGCGGGCUCGUAGCCCGUUUCACUCACUUCAGAAGGGAAGGGCCGCAGAGGUGCAAGCAGCAACAGUGCAACUUCUCGUGUGAAGAGUUUUUGGAUACAAGAUAAUUGGAGACAGACUCGUGCCUUUCACAGGGCAUCUUCUCUGUAACGUGAAAGAGAAACAGCCAAAUGCCAACACCAGCAUCUUACUGGAUUUUGUAAACAAGUCUGCACAAAACCAACCACAUCUAAUAAGUUCCAAAAUUUGGACAAGACAUGCUGAGGAAGUACAUUUAUGGAGGAAGAGAGAUCAAUACUGGAUGAAGCAACAAAGAGAGGCAUGGGCAUGAAAGUGAAACACCACGCUGACAAACAAACAAGGAUUGAAGAGUCCCAGACAGCGCACACUCUAUGCCAUUGAGACGGUGCCCUGGAUAAAAGCCACAAUGAACGGGGUGAGAGAGAAGCCGUAAGCCAUGGAAGGAGUAAGAAGCAAGCGGUGAUUGAAGAGGGCGCAGCCGUGAAGCUCCGUAUUUCCCACACACACGGGCCCCAAGAAGCCCUGAUAUGCCCUCUCUCAUUCUGGUUUCUAAGCCAAAUGUGCUGGCAUUUGUGUAAGGCGGCUUGAGUUAUGAAACCUAAGAGGAUGUAAUUCCUAUGCAAACAUUUUUCAUUCACUCUUGUGCUGGCCAUUCUUAACGCAGCAGCCGUUUCCUCUGUGAGCUGAAACAAGUCUUGUGUUCCUGGAGGCAGCUGUAAACCUCACGUUGCAGCAGUAGCUAUCGGUUACCUAAGGAAUAGCUUCGGCUACCCCAUCCUGCUGUAAAUGGGAAGAGAUUUCGUACAGCUUUUCACCACAGAAACCAACAAGACUAUAUCAGAUUUUUUUUUUUUUUAAAACAUACUUCGUUUUCUUUUGUGGAAGAGGAAAGGAGGGGAGAUUAAUUUAAAGAGCUCUCCGAUAAGACAAAAAUAAAGCUUGUGGGGCAACGCCUUUCCUUUUUUCCUCUUUUCUUCUAUCCCAGGUCUCAUGUCACACAAUGCCUGUAGCAAGUGCACUAAGCGAUCCUACAAUGCUAACAUCGGGCAGGCUGAUCUCUUUCUCAUAUCUUCCAUCAAUUUCUUUAACUGAUUUGCACCCUUAGGUGACAGAAGUCUGAGUACAGCUCUGCUUCACCACUAGUUACGCUGUAAAUGGAAGCACCGUAAGACAACUUGAUAUAAACAGUCAAUCAAGAAUAGGAAAGACCACGUUUCCAAAACCCUCACAGGCAUAUAAUGCAACCGCUCACAAAUGACAAAGACCCGGCAUUCUGCAACGCCUCAGUCCACAAGAAUUCAGCUGCAGCAAGCAGCUCACUGAUUUCAUGAGCUGUGAGCCUCAGCAAUUCCCCGUGCCGAAGGGGAGCUCUGGGUCCGGGAGGUGCCCCGUGGGCGCUGGAGCCAGGGGAACCUCUUGAGUGCUGCACCCUGCUGCUGCCUGGAGAGAACACAGGUGGCAGACGGACACGUUGCUGCCUUGGUAGAUGCAGUCGCACAGAACGGGGCUUUCUCUAACAUUCCUUAAUUCACCUGAUGUAAUGGAGAGGACAACGCACCAUGCCAGGACAUGUGUUUUCAAGAUAAUGAUUUAGAUGGUGCUUUUACACGCACAGGUAGAACCGUCGUGGCAGACAAGAGUUAUGCCAGUUUUUGUGGUGAUGUUGAAACACACCGAAGCUACUUAUCAAGGUUACGUUCCCAGGCGCAGGUUGCUGCAGCUCAGACUCGCGUCUCCCACAUAAGGCAGUCUCUGAAACGCAUCCCUUGCCCCUUCCGACUGGCAAGAGAAACUCAGGCCGCAGAGUUACUCCCUGAAAUUCAUGCCUUCCUGAAAACACUCUGGACCCUGUUAUCCUCACCUGUUAACCUGCGAACUUCUGCCCAGACUGGACCAAGAGAAGGCAGCGCUCCAUUUGGUGGUUAAAAUAGUUACCAGAGUCUUUGCCAACUGCGCAGACGAUCAUCCACAAAGAAAAAGGACCUGAUUAGAACAGAAGCGCUCAAUUUUCUCCCUUUUUAAAAAGCCCGUUGCACAUGCAAAUGAACAUGCAGUUCUGUAUUGCAGGAUGGAGUCCCUGGCGCUGAUGCCCAGCAGCAAACAUUUAGCCUAUUGAUUUAAUAAAGCCACAGAAUACACACGCAGAGAUUAUAGAUCCAAUUUACACCCAAAAAACGUAAGUCCAUGUUAAAGAAUUCUGAGCCAUCCGUGUAAUGCCACAGUUCAAACUUUUAUGAUUAAUCUUGAGCCAAAAGGAGAUCACCUGAAGCCCCACUUUGUGGGUUAAAAGGCCUUUCACAAAACAGAGGCUGUUUUGCCCAGGAAACAGUAGCUGGGCAUUCAUUAGAAGCCUCCCUUGGCAGAGACAACAGGUUGCGCAUUGACAUGCACCUUACACGGAAGGACGGUUUCAGUUAAAUACUGAGAAAACAAAAUCUGGUUUAACUGUCCAGAAAAUAAGUCCGGUUUUGAUGCCCGGGCAUUCUGCCGCAGCUUGCAGGGAUCACCGCUUGCAUUUUUGUUCAGUUUCCCUACCAUUUUCCCCAAUAAAGCGCCAGGUACGUUAAGACAAUGCGGCCUGCUUUGGCAAAAAGCUCUUUACGAAGGUGCCAGCUACCGCUGGGAUGGUCAAACGGAAAGUUAAGCAGCAUAUUGGGAAUCUCAGUCGCUAGAAAAGCCACAAACCAGAAUGCGAGGAUGCCCCGAAACUUGCGCUCCCGCAUUUCUAACGCCGUUCCACAUUCUUAGCGCCUUCCCAUACAUUUAUCGCGGUCUCAAGCCUCUCCACGAUUUUUGUGUGGUUCCUUCCGAAGAACGUAUUCCAAGCCGUUGCAGGGAACAGCCCUUUAUCGUACAUAUUAGAAUUUAAAUGGGAUCGGGAGCACUCUGCACAUUGCGAUAGAGACAGGUUACGCCGACACGGGUAGCAUGGCGUCUGAGCAGGGAGCCCAGGGUUGUGCAAGAUGUGAAGGAACGGAAGGGCUGUGAUUUAGCCGCUGUCAUGCACCAAACCUCGCUCCGGUAACUUUAACUGUUUAACGGUAGAAUAAAAAUCCGUAUGCCC